RNAcentral lists this ribosomal RNA (421 nucleotides) under Fusobacteriota bacterium. Its description in RNAcentral is "Fusobacteria bacterium partial 16S ribosomal RNA". It matches the Rfam family "Bacterial small subunit ribosomal RNA", at positions 355 to 776 of the family's 1533-position model. The record is from RNAcentral. Lineage: Bacteria; Fusobacteriati; Fusobacteriota.
UGGGGAAUUUUGCACAAUGGGGGGAACCUUGAUGCAGCGACGCCGCGUGAGGGAUGGAGGCCUUCGGGUUGUGAACCUCUUUCGCUCGUGUGCAAGCCGCUAUUUGGGUAGUGGUGAGUGUAGCGGGUAAAGAAGCGCCGGCUAACUACGUGCCAGCAGCCGCGGUAAUACGUAGGGCGCGAGCGUUGUCCGGAUUUAUUGGGCGUAAAGGGCUUGUAGGCGGUUUGUCGCGCCUGUCGUGUAAUCCUCUGGCUUAACUGGGGGUGUGCGGUGGGUACGGGCAGGCUUGAGUGCGGUAGGGGAGAUUGGAAUUCCUGGUGGAGCGGUGGAAUGCGCAGAUAUCAGGAGGAGCACCGGUGGCGAAGGCGGGUCUCUGGGCCGUUACUGACGCUUAGGAGCGAAAGCGUGGGGAGCGAACAGG